CUUGAGAUUCUUGUGCAGUGGA
RNAcentral lists this non-coding RNA (22 nucleotides) under Arabidopsis thaliana (thale cress). Lineage: Eukaryota; Viridiplantae; Streptophyta; Magnoliopsida; Brassicales; Brassicaceae. The record is from RNAcentral.